RNAcentral lists this ribosomal RNA (484 nucleotides) under uncultured bacterium. RNAcentral's name for it is "partial 16S ribosomal RNA". It matches the Rfam family "Bacterial small subunit ribosomal RNA", at positions 29 to 507 of the family's 1533-position model. The record is from RNAcentral.
AUUGAACGCUGGCGGCAUGCUUUACACAUGCAAGUCGAACGGGAGCGCGGGCUUCGGCCUGGCGGCGAGUGGCGAACGGGUGAGUAAUACAUCGGAACGUGCCCAGUAGUGGGGGAUAGCUCGGCGAAAGCCGGAUUAAUACCGCAUACGACCUGAGGGUGAAAGCGGGGGAUCUUCGGACCUCGCGCUAUUGGAGCGGCCGAUGGCAGAUUAGCUAGUUGGUGGGGUAAAGGCCUACCAAGGCGACGAUCUGUAGCUGGUCUGAGAGGACGACCAGCCACACUGGGACUGAGACACGGCCCAGACUCCUACGGGAGGCAGCAGUGGGGAAUUUUGGACAAUGGGCGAAAGCCUGAUCCAGCAAUGCCGCGUGUGUGAUGAAGGCCUUCGGGUUGUAAAGCACUUUUGGCGGGAACGAAAAGGACUGUGCCAAUACCACGGUUCGAUGACGGUACCCGCAGAAUAAGCACCGGCUAACUACGUG